AGGUAAUGUCUACUGCACCUCUAUCACUGUAGACACUCGGUUACGCUGUGGGUCUUAAUGACCUUAGACAUCAUUGUCGAGGGUGUGAUGUGAGGAUGGGUUUAAUGCCCU
Paenibacillus uliginis N3/975 is the source of this 111-nucleotide regulatory RNA element. It matches the Rfam family "epsC RNA". The record is from Rfam. Lineage: Bacteria; Bacillati; Bacillota; Bacilli; Caryophanales; Paenibacillaceae.